RNAcentral lists this ribosomal RNA (254 nucleotides) under uncultured bacterium. RNAcentral's name for it is "partial 16S ribosomal RNA". It matches the Rfam family "Bacterial small subunit ribosomal RNA", at positions 524 to 776 of the family's 1533-position model. The record is from RNAcentral.
UACGUAGGGUGCGAGCGUUGUCCGGAAUUAUUGGGCGUAAAGAGCUCGUAGGCGGUGUGUCGCGUCGGCCGUGAAAACCUGUGGCUUAACCAUGGGCUUGCGGUCGAUACGGGCAUCACUGGAGUUCGGCAGGGGAGACUGGAAUUCCUGGUGUAGCGGUGAAAUGCGCAGAUAUCAGGAGGAACACCGGUGGCGAAGGCGGGUCUCCGGGCCGAUACUGACGCUGAGGAGCGAAAGCGUGGGGAGCGAACAGG